RNAcentral lists this ribosomal RNA (270 nucleotides) under uncultured soil bacterium. RNAcentral's name for it is "partial 16S ribosomal RNA". It matches the Rfam family "Bacterial small subunit ribosomal RNA", at positions 26 to 285 of the family's 1533-position model. The record is from RNAcentral.
AGAAUCAACGCUGGCGGCGUGCCUAACACAUGCAAGUCGAACGCGAAAGCCCCGAAAGGGGCAAGUAGAGUGGCAAACGGGUGAGUAACACGUGGGUGACCUGCCUUCGAGCGGGGGAUAACGUCCCGAAAGGGACGCUAAUACCGCAUAACAUCCUGCCUUUGAAGAGGUGGAGAUCAAAGCUGGGGAUCGCAAGACCCGGCACUUGAAGAGGGGCCCGCGUCUGAUUAGCUAGUUGGUGGGUAACGCCUACCAAGGCAACGAUCAGUA